AACGAACGCUGGCGGCAUGCCUAACACAUGCCAGUCGAACGAGACCUUCGGGUCUAGUGGCGCACGGGUGCGUAACGCGUGGGAACCUGCCCUUAGGUUCGGAAUAACUCCCCGAAAGGGGUGCUAAUACCGGAUAAUGUCUUCGGACCAAAGAUUUAUCGCCUUUGGAUGGGCCCGCGUUGGAUUAGCUAGUUGGUAGGGUAAAAGCCUACCAAGGCGACGAUCCAUAGCUGGUCUGAGAGGAUGAUCAGCCACACUGGGACUGAGACACGGCCCAGACUCCUACGGGAGGCAGCAGUGGGGAAUAUUGGACAAUGGGCGAAAGCCUGAUCCAGCAAUGCCGCGGGAGUGAUGAAGGCCUUAGGGUUGUAAAGCUCUUUUACCCGGGAUGAUAAUGACAGUACCGGGAGAAUAAGCUCCGGCUAACUCCGUG
Molecule: ribosomal RNA, 433 nt
Filed under: uncultured bacterium
Lineage: Bacteria
Description: partial 16S ribosomal RNA
Rfam family: Bacterial small subunit ribosomal RNA
Source: RNAcentral